This 29-nucleotide non-coding RNA is filed under the name Homo sapiens (human). The record is from RNAcentral. Lineage: Eukaryota; Metazoa; Chordata; Mammalia; Primates; Hominidae.
UGGACGUGCUUAGGAACAGGGUGCUGGUU